RNAcentral lists this long non-coding RNA (202 nucleotides) under Elaeis guineensis (African oil palm). Its description in RNAcentral is "long non-coding RNA (EGUI_LNC003884)". The record is from RNAcentral. Lineage: Eukaryota; Viridiplantae; Streptophyta; Magnoliopsida; Arecales; Arecaceae.
GGGUCGGGGGCAUGACACACUCUCUCUCCAUUUUCAUGUGGUACACUGGAUGUUUAUGUUGAUCUAGAUGGCAUUCAUAGUUGAUAAUUUUAUACUUAUAUAGACAGAUUAAAUUGAUAAUCUAUUUUUUUUCAGUUUCUAUUUUCAUAUAUAUUUGUUAAAUGCAUUAUAUGAUUCUUGUUGAAGUUAAAAAAAGAUAAAU